This is a long non-coding RNA of Asparagus officinalis (garden asparagus), 665 nucleotides long. RefSeq lists it as uncharacterized. The record is from RefSeq and is a predicted model, not a curated record. The transcript is spliced from 2 exons. NCBI's taxonomy places the organism in Eukaryota, Viridiplantae, Streptophyta, Magnoliopsida, Asparagales, Asparagaceae.
GCCUCCUCCAGGCGCUCCCCCAGUUUGAACGCAGGAACCAGAACCACAGCACCGCUCCUCCUCCAGGUGCUCCCCCCAGCUCGAGUGCAGGAACCAGAUCUCUCCUCUAGGUGCUCCCCCAUCUCUCGCCACCUCCCUAGCCGACGCAAUCGACAAAUUGGAACCCAAUCUUGAGUCUCCAGGUCACGAUAAAAGAUGAAGAAAUUUUUGGAAGAGUUCAGUGAAGAAGAUGAUGAGGGUUUAGUUUAAAGAAGAUGUUAUUGUGGGUUAAUUUGCAGAAUAUGGAUGUGCAAGCAGGGACACAAUAAGGGCUUGGAAUUUUAUGGAUGCCCGAGAUACAAGGGACCUAAUUGCAAGGGUUGCAACUUCUUCGAAUGGGUGGGUGAUGAUAAGAACAUCACAAAAAGGCUGGAAAUGUUGGAAAAAAAUGUUAAGGUUUUGAAAAAAAUGCUGAAUGGUGUAAUUUUAUAUUUAAAAUUUAUAAGUAUCGUUGUACUAAUAUUGUUGCUUUGCGUUAUAGUCAAAUGACUGAGCAUCAUAUCAGUCAUUAAUGACUGAUGUAUCCAAAUAUCCUAUUAUAAACGACUGUUCAAACUGGUUAUGGUUAAUUGUUAUGGUUCAGUUGUUAUGGUUCAAUUGUAAAUGACUGAGGUAUUGUUGUGUUU